UCAGGACGAACGCUGGCGGCGUGCUUAACACAUGCAAGUCGAACGGAAAGGCCCUUUCGGGGGUGCUCGAGUGGCGAACGGGUGAGUAACACGUGGGUGAUCUGCCCUGCACUUUGGGAUAAGCCUGGGAAACUGGGUCUAAUACCGAAUACACCCUGCUGGUCGCAUGGCCUGGUGGGGGAAAGCUUUUGCGGUGUGGGAUGGGCCCGCGGCCUAUCAGCUUGUUGGUGGGGUGAUGGCCUACCAAGGCGACGACGGGUAGCCGGCCUGAGAGGGUGUCCGGCCACACUGGGACUGAGAUACGGCCCAGACUCCUACGGGAGGCAGCAGUGGGGAAUAUUGCACAAUGGGCGCAAGCCUGAUGCAGCGACGCCGCGUGGGGGAUGACGGCCUUCGGGUUGUAAACCUCUUUCACCAUCGGCGAAGCCUUAUGCUUUUGUGUGGGGUGACGGUAGGUGGAGAAGAAGCACCGGCCAACUACGUGCCAGCAGCCGCGGUAAUACGUAGGGUGCGAGCGUUGUCCGGAAUUACUGGGCGUAAAGAGCUCGUAGGUGGUUUGUCGCGUUGUCCGUGAAAUUCCCUGGCUUAACUGGGGGCGUGCGGGCGAUACGGGCAGACUGGAGUACUGCAGGGGAGACUGGAAUUCCUGGUGUAGCGGUGGAAUGCGCAGAUAUCAGGAGGAACACCGGUGGCGAAGGCGGGUCUCUGGGCAGUAAC
This 717-nucleotide ribosomal RNA is filed under the name Mycobacterium sp. L1999. RNAcentral describes it as "bacterial SSU rRNA". It matches the Rfam family "Bacterial small subunit ribosomal RNA", at positions 24 to 740 of the family's 1533-position model. The record is from RNAcentral. Lineage: Bacteria; Bacillati; Actinomycetota; Actinomycetes; Mycobacteriales; Mycobacteriaceae.